UCAGUUGGCUGGGCAGCCGCGCCUGUCAUAUGCUGAAAGGCGGCAGGUGAGGAAAGUCCGGGCUCCAUGGAAACACGGUGCCGGGUAACACCCGGCGGGGGCGACCCCAGGGAAAGUGCCACAGAAAGCAGACCGCCCCGUCUUCCGUCGCGCCGCGUCUCAAAAAGACCGGGCGCCAGGGAUGACGGGGUAAGGGUGAAAGGGUGGGGUAAGAGCCCACCGCGUCUCCGGCAACGGCGACGGCACGGUAAACCCCACCGGGAGCAAGACCGAAUAGGGACGGCGUGCCGGGCGAAAGUCCGGCGAUCUGUUUCCGGAUCAGCCGUCCGGGUAGGUUGCAAGAGGCGGGUGGCGACAUCCGUCCCAGAUGAAUGGCUGCCGCGUCGGGCGCAAGCCCGGCCAUACAGAACCCGGCUUACAGGCCAACUGACAUU
The sequence is an RNase P RNA, 434 nucleotides long. It matches the Rfam family "Bacterial RNase P class A". From Rfam's summary of the family: Ribonuclease P (RNase P) is a ubiquitous endoribonuclease, found in archaea, bacteria and eukarya as well as chloroplasts and mitochondria. Its best characterised activity is the generation of mature 5'-ends of tRNAs by cleaving the 5'-leader elements of precursor-tRNAs.